CUAAAGGAAAAUACCAUAAACCUUAAUAAAGACAUAAUCCCAAAGGUUUCCUUUCUCUAUCACUCCCUACCUGCUGGUUGAGUUCCCUUACUCCUCCAAACUUCUCCUUGGCCUCCUAUUGGCACCCCUAACUUCUCUGGACCUGCUUACAGGAAACAUCACAGUCCUCAGAAGGAGGGAUCCUAUGAUGUUGGACAAGUGCCACAGCAGAAACCCUGAGAAGUACUAGCAAUUGCUCAGCAGAUUCCAUGUCAAUAUCAUAAAGCAAUAAAUGAUUUUACUAGUAUAGUAACAGCUUGACGAGUACAGUAUUCUCUCAAUAGUCAUCAGGGAUGGAUUUCAGGAACCCCACGGAUACCAAAAUCCACAGAUGCUUGUGUCUCUGAGAUAAAAUUUUGUAAUACUUGCAUAUAACCUACACACAUCAUCCUGUAUACUUUAAAUCACCUCUAGUUUACUUUUAAUACCUAAUACAAUGUAAAUACUAUGUAAAUAGUUGUAACACUGCAUUGCUUUUAAGUUAUUUUUUAUUGAUGUAUUGCUAUUUUUUAUUUUUCACGUAUUUUUAUUGUGGAAUCUGCAAAGAGGAAGCCGAGGAUAUGGAAAGACAGCUGUAACUAUUUUUCCUUAACAUAGAUACCAAUAUUUUGGAUUCUGCUAAGAUCUAUUCCAAGCCUAUUUGGAAGUGGUUUCCACCCUGGAAAAUGGUGCUUCAGAGAACAUGUGAACAGAACAAAAGGACUCUUGUUUUGAUAUCCAUUUUGCCUCACAUUCUUCAUGUAUAAAAUGAGAAUAAUGAUACCUGUUUUACCCCCUUGUUGUGGAGAUAAAUUGUGAUAAUGUAUUUGAGAGAGCACUGGAAACUAAAAUAGGUUUUGUUUGUCUGCUUUUGUUUUCACCAAGAACUGUGAGAAACUGGGACACCAUUAUUGCUGAUUUGGAAACUCUAUCAUUGGAAGUAGCACUAAUAGGAUGGAGUAUUCACCCACGUGUUACAAAUGCACAUUGCACAGUUUUGGAGUCUAAAUGGAUUUGGUGCUUUAAGUAUAAGUUGGGCCUCAAAAAAAUGGCACACAGCAGAUGCCUAGCAACACAGCAGCAGUACCACCUUCAAGAUGAGAUUUUUCUCAAGCUCAUGUGACAAAUCCACUGGGAACUCCCAGAAAAACAAUGAAAACUAUGAAAAAGCUGAGAUUCUACAUGGGCAGGUAUUGCAACUGAGGCUUAGAAAAGUUAAAUGUUUUUGCCAAAGAGGUCCAACUGCUGAGGCCACCUGGUGGUAACUAUAAGAGCACAAUCCUUCUAUACUGAUCUUGGUGUAAGUCCUGUGCCUGUAAUUUAUUAACAUUCUGACCCUGUGGGAAUAUAAAGCAAGCCAAAGGGAACUCAUUCUUCUCGAGUGGCCAAUACGUGUGAAGCAGCUAAGAGGUUUACUUCCAACAUAUUUAGUGUUUAUAACCAUCAAGAAAGUGUCCAUUUUGCUUGGAGAUGGAUGCUAAGAUGUAAACUGACUGGAGGAAGCAUAAAAAAUGAAAGAUCACCAGACUUCAACAUCUGAGACCCAAACAUUCACAAGACUCCAUAUUAAUCAACUCUGGAGAGCAACAUCUAAACUCAAUGAUGAGCAAAGAGAGAGGAGUUGAUUGAUUCCUUGAAGCAAUUCUGCUUUGAUAACCCCUUGAUGUUGGUUUGACUCAUGCUCCUGUCAUCAUGAAGCCCCCUAUUGUGUGAACUAAUUGAAACCUCACAAAAUGGUGUCACUUGAAUAGCAUUACUCCUGCCUGAUUGUAAGCAACUCUAAUUCCCAAUGUCAAGAUCACAUUUCACUUCACAGUUAUAUGGAUCACAACAUGAGAGGGAUUAAUUUCUGGUUGAUUACCCUCUGCAGCUAUAACAUGAAAUGCAAUUCAUAGCAAGUGGGCUCUUCGCAUGUUUGCUAAUCUGCCACAUUGGCAAUUGUUUUGAGGAUCCUCUGAAGAAUUCUAAUGAGCAUUUAAAAGAAAGUAUGCUUAUGAAAUAUAAGCCAAUGAUGCAAAUAAUGUUAAAAAUGGUAUUUUGUGAGAUUAUAUAUAUUUUUGUGUGCUGUGUGUGUGUGUGUGUGUGUGUGUGUGUGUGUGUUUACAGGAUUAAUUCAAUCAAUACUCUUGCAGUUUGCUGAACACAAUAUUCAGUAUAUAGUGCAUUCAGAUAAAUCUUUUGGGGGAUGUAAAAAUUUAAGAAAUAAAAUUGUGACAAGUGAUAUCCUAGUGUAAGAAAUAGGAUGUUGAAUAGCAAAGUUCCUUAAAGUAUCUAAGAACUCCUGUAACGAGAGGUGAUGGUAUCGCUGGGGCAAUGUCUACAACCAAAUUUAGAAAGUUAGAACAUUCACAGGAUAUUAUCAUAAGAUAAAAAAUUAUCAUAUUUGGAUAUUUGAAGGAACUUGCAAGAUUCCACCAAAUAUACACACGUAAGGCUUUUAUUUAAAGGCAAAGGAUAUGUAUGGCAAUAGAUAGUGCAAUCAGGUAUCAUUGGUAGAGAAACAUUCUUAAAAGCUUAAGCUUUCUGGGGUCCUUAUGUAUACAUGGAAACCUUUUGUCUACAGAGUGAACCACCAAGAACUGUGCUGUGAAAUCUUGGCUUCAAAAGAACUCAAAGUAGAAAUUUCUAGUGAGUUUUCCCUCCUGUUGUCACAGAGACCAGCCAGGCUAUCUUAUCUGUUGUACCAUAUGAAGCCAUCAGUAAACAAACUGACCCUACCCCAUCCUUGUGGAAUUUCUGAUUUUAACAAGAACAUGAUCAAUUACACUGCCCUUUAUUUGACCAAUUGUCAAAACCACACAUCCAGACAUUUCAGGAGAUAAGCAUAGUUUACCCAUUUCAGUUGUAAAAUAACUCUGUUCUUUAAAAAUAGUAGCGGUACUGAUAAUAAUAAGUAGCUGUAUGACUUAUCUACUGCUACUGUAACAAAUUGCUACAGUCUUAAUUGGUUAAAAAGCAACACAGAUUUAUAGUUCUGGAGACUAGAGCUCCAAAAUUGUUUCUAAAUAACAUUUGUAAAAGGCCUAAUAGAGUUUGUUCUAUCUUACAUGCUAAACAAAUGAGAACUUUUCAUAUCAUUUUUGGGAUCUUCAGAGUACGAUAUUCAACUAUUUAAAUUAAUAUUGUAUCUUGUGUGUGUCAACAGUUGAAUCUUAACAAAAAUUAAGAUUCAGUUCCCUUUAAGUUGUCCUGUGUGUUUAAUUACAGUAUUUUAAAAAAUCAAUCAUUAUAUUUAUAGGAACUCAUAUAUGAGACAUCUUUAUCUCCCCCACCACACGCAUGCACACAAAAUAUAUCUUUCCCUUGGUUAAUCCACUUCUACACAAUACCAACACAGCUGCUUUAACACUGAGUAAUUCAGUAAAACAACUAGAAUAAUUUGGGUCCAGAAAACAUUCACAAGCCAUAUUGACUUAAGGAAUUGUGUGAAUAUUUAAGUAAGACCCCUGAAAAGUUGGACCUUUGUUAAAGGUAGAUAGUCUUCUGUUUUUCAUUGAAUAGGAUUUUGUUUUACACAAAAAGCAAUGAGUCAACGUUUUAGAAAACCUAUAGAAAUUCUUACGAUUUUAUAAAUAAGAAUCAGAAUAUAUUCCCCUUUAAGAGGUCCACUAUUAAUUUUCUCUUGUCCUAAUUCCUUUAUCAUCCUGGAAACAUUGUAAUUAACAUACCUAUGGAUGUAUUUCAUCAGCUUUUUAUGACUCUGACAAAUUUGCUUCUAAUAAACUAUAGCAAGUAUUUAUCCAACUAUCUACCACUAUGUUGUGUCAAUCACCAGAUUCUUUACAUGUUUUUAAACUGAAAAGAAAUUUUGUUUAUCGUUUGUUUCAAAAAUUUAAAAGGGCUCAGCAGGCAAUUUGCAUAUGCCACUAGUUUAACUGAGCAAGGAUUAGCAAAUUAAAUCUUAAUUAGCGAAUUUUUGCAUAAUUUUAGGGAAAUUAUAUGCUUUGCGCAGAUGACAGGUGGGAGGUAAGACAUUUAGCUUGCAUUGAAUUGAAGUCUUCCUUGACUUUAUGAAUUUUAAUAGAAAAAUAACAUUUAACAGUUAAAAUAUGUGUCAAACUGAAUAGAGCCUAUCUGGAGCCACUAAAAUAAGAAAUUACUUUUUGAAAGAAAACCAGUGAUGAGCAUUUAAGUAUUCCUAAUAAUGCACAUAUAAGAAAUAUUUUGAAAUUGAAAAGGAAUUUUUUCCAACAGGUUUUAUGGUUUAUAGUAUGUGUUCUGCCUUAUAAUAUAAUAAUUAAUGGAAUGUGAAUAAUAAUUCACAGUUUGCACAUAUAGUUACAAUAAAGUCACAGUAUUAAAUCUGUAUAUGGGAGAGUAGGUAGUGCUGUGCCACAGUAAUUAUAAUCGUACCAACUCACAUGAGCAGGGGACUUGUGUGGCACACAGCAGUCUUCUGAUGCUUUGACCUGAUGCCCUCAAGACCAGCUUCACCUUUGUGCUGCUUCCUGUUUCUGGACUCUUUUCUCUCUACUCUCCACACUUAAUCUUGUUAUCAAAUUAUCCUUUAAAGUUCCAGCUGAACAUCUGUAUACAGGAGGACUUUACUUAUCCUGCUCUAUCUUACCAAUGAUCUAACUCCCUUCUGUGUCUCCAUAGUUCCAUGUGUAUCUGUUUUUUUCAAUCAUUUCACUAAUCACACUAUACUACAAUUGCUAAUUCACUUCACUCUCCUUACAAGACCCUUGAAAGCAAGAACUAUAUUUGAUCCACCUUUGCACCUUUUCAACAGGGAUUUGUUGAAUAAAUUAAGAAAGGAACCUUUACUGUCAUAUUUUAACCACCUAAUUUCAGUUUAUUUCAGUCGUUUUAUUGAAAAUUAUUCUCAAAAUCAUUUUUGAAAGAAAGCUAUGAGUUUAAUAUUUUAUUAUAAGGACAAGUUUCCGUGACUUAACAUUGCAUUGUUUAUUCUAGGCAUACUCAUGUAAGUCAUGACAUGCUUUAAUGACUUCUGUAUUCCAGUAGACACUAAAGGUCAAUGAAAGCAGAAACUUUUCUCUGGUAGCUGCUCUAUCCUCAAAGCCAAGAACAUAGCCUAGAAUGUAGCAGGUAGGUAAUCAGUAAAUAAUUUUUGAAUAAAUAAAGGAAUUAUUUAAUGAAAUAUAAAAGCCAAGAAAAGACAGGAAGAAAAACAGGAAGGAAGAAAGGAAGGAAGGAAGGGAGGGAGGGAGGAAGUGAAGCAUUACCGAACUUAUAAAGGGCAGACCAUUGCUUGAUUUAUUACCUAACAGGAUGUUCAAGAAUGACAGGCACAUGUUAUAUAUAUUUUUGUUAAGCAAAUAAAUGAAUGAAUAAUAUCGAAUACGAUAAUAUGGAUUACAAUUUAGUUCAGGCAUUUGAAAUGAUUUUUAUGGAUGUAGUUUUAAAAAUCAGUUUUAUGAAUUUCUGCUUCAAGUACUUGUAAUAUUUCAUAGUAAGAUCUAAUACUUAUCCUGACUCCCACAUUUUCUCUUUAGUUUUUCAAUUUCUGCUUAUAAUUUUAUUCUAAUAGUUAAUUCUGUAAAGGACACUACACGUUUUAUUUCUGUAAUAGAUAUUUGUAUUGUAUAUGUUAUUCAGACAUUUUAUUUUUGCUAAAUAUUUCUUUCUACUGUCAUGUUUGGUAAGUUUGCAGUUAUUUCCAUGUGUUUGCCUCUAACUGUGCAUAAAUAGUUUUGCCUUUUUUCCCCUUGAUGAAAGCAAACAAACCUUAUUGCUUCUGGUAUGGAAUAUGAAUUUAAUUUAAAUUAAAUAAGGAAAUAGCCUUGAUAUGUUGGUUUUAAAAAUGCAUGUCAACAUUUGGCAUUUGGAUAUUCUAUGUAAAUGCAAGCUUUUAACAGAAUUUCAAUUGAACAAAUUAUAGUUUUGACUGUAAUUUAUGGGAACUAUUUAAAUAUCUACAACUUAUAGCCAGUGUUUCCUAAAUUAUUCAUGAAUUACUAAUUACCCUCUUUCAGCCACA
Molecule: long non-coding RNA, 5959 nt
Filed under: Homo sapiens (human)
Lineage: Eukaryota; Metazoa; Chordata; Mammalia; Primates; Hominidae
Description: HSALNT0178924
Source: RNAcentral